AAAGUCGGAACCUGCUCGUCGGCAGCUCCCGGCGCUGCCUUGACUCGCAGCCAGGCCUGGCGCGGCCGCCGGCUGUGGAAUGUGUGAGCGCCAUGUGUCACCGCCCCAGACUGUGGGAAAACGCUGCUCCGCUCACCUCCCAGCAGCUGCCCCGCGCCCGCCCGGGCGGGAGCCGGGAAACAGGAGCCGCCUGCCGCGGAGGCCGCCCGGGGGCACUUCCGAGCGCGCGCCGCCUGCCCGGCCGCCCCCGCGCCCGCCGCGUCUCCCCGCCCACACCCCGCUGCCACCCGGCCCCGGGCGCCACCCGCGGAGCAGGCGGCGGGAGGGACAGCCCGGCACGGCCCCUUUCCUGCCCUUCACACCCCUUCUGCUUCUCAGGGGACGCUGGUCCACAGACCGAGGCCCCGUUGCGCGCGGCCGCCUUCGGAGCGCCGCCCUCCUCCCGAAACCGGCCGGGGCGAGUGGCUGCAAGAAGCUGCGGUUUGGCCCGCGGGAGAGGGGGGCUUCCCCGCUGGGGUUGUCUGACGCGAACGCCUUCCUGGCCCCAGCCAGGCGCCCUGAGAUGAUGAAGGUUUAAGAAGCAGCAUCAUCAGCGAACUGUGUUUUGAAGAUUUGAGGGAAGGGCUGACCUCAGGAUUUUAUACUAGUUGCUGACCUCCAUAACAGCAGACAAAAUUGGAAGCAAGAGUGAUUUUGGAGGAGUCACACUUAGAUGUUUCCCUUACCUAUUUCUGUUCUGGAAAUUUAAAAAUCUUACUUCUCGUGACAGUCCUACAUGAAAAAUUAAAAAUCACAAGGAUUCAUGGAUGGAAAACUGAGACUCAGAGAAUGAUCACAUUCACAUCGUAAUAAAUCAGCAAUAGAGUGAGUGAUUGUUCCUUGGUAAGAAAUCAACUCUAAACUCAGUUGGAAACCUUUGCCAAUAUUACUUAACACAUGACAAUCUGGUGUGACUCAUUUUUCUUGACAUUAUGCAAAUAAAGGAAACAAGACUGAGUGGCCUUCUGUCCGGAGAGCAGGAAAUGAAGGCUGUCUGGGGCCACAUGUUUCCUGGGACAUGUGGUGUCAGAAAUGGGUACUAGAAGAACCAGGCCUUUGUUCAUGUCUUUUAUUUUUUAUUUUUGUUUUUUUUUAGAUGGAGUCUCACUCUGUCGCCCAGGCUGAAGUGCAGUGGCACUGUCUCGGCUCAUUGCGACCUCCGCCUCACCGGUUCAAGCAAUUCUCCUGCCUCAGCCUCCCGAGUAGCUGGGAUUAUAGGCGCCCGCCACUACACCCAGCUAAUUUUUGUAUUUUUAGUAGAGACAUGGUUUCACCAUGUUAGCCAGGCUGGUCUAGAACUCAUGACCUCGUGAUCCACCCGCCUCCGCCUCCCAAAGUGCUGGGAUUACAGGCGUGAGCCACGGUGCCUGGCUGCCAUUGUUCAUUUCUAUUUCAUGAGUGAUCGGCUCUUGUUGGCCAUGGCUGGAGGAGUCAGCUCCCAAAAUCCACACUCUCUAGGAGUGCUGAACCAUAAAUAAUCUAUCAGGACUCCUAGAUUCCACUCUCUAGAGCUGCAACCAGAAGUUCCUUCCUUCCCGGCCCUGCUUCCCACUAAAGGAAACAUUUGACUUUUGGGGAUGAGAUGUUUCAAGCCAGCCAAUCCUUCUCACAGGAAGCAGAACCCCAGCCACCAUGGAGCUUAUCCUUGGGGCGCAGAGAAACACUGACCUAAUGCUGUAAUCAAGUACUGGAUUUUAUUUUUAAAUCUUUUUACCUCACAAGCUGACUUUAUUCUGGCUAGAGGGCUCCUGAACCUCUGUAAACUCCCCAGGAGGUAAUUUCCAGUGCUAAUCUCGCUAACGAGGUGUCAGUUACAGAAAUGGCCCACGCCCUGGUUUCUUCUAAGUGGACAUUACAGUGUUUCUUCAGAGGGGCCUGUGCUGGGACACCUCGGAAAUGGAAGAAUUUAUAGCAAGGAUGUUAUUUCUCACUAAGUGAGCAGAAGAGCUGGAAGAUCUCUUUAGAGAUCAUUAGAAGGAUGGGGAAACUGAGGCUCAGAGAAGGGCAGUGGCUGCCCGAGGCCACAGAGCUGAGUGGCAGCAGGGUUGGGUUAGAGACUGGACCUUGUGGCGGAGCUGGCCUGCUUUGGGCUGUUCCACACACCACUGACUUUCUAGAUUGUUUCAUGUUCAUGGAAUCAUCCUCAAACUCUACUCCCCAAAAUUGUACCAUAGAUUAACUUCGGGCACCCCCCAAGUCAAAACUUCAACAGCUAAGGGACACGGAUCAUGCGGCCUGCUGAACACGCCAUCAAGUGGGGCAAAGUCUUCUUUCUUUGUGAUCAGGGUAUGCACUCUCCCUUGGCCUCUGAAUAAGCUGUACCCAGGGUUCCUCGAUGACUCAGCUGCAGCAGGCUAUCCACCACACAUGUCCGUGGCCACCACGGCGGGAACCGGGCUCACCAUCACUUACCACUAGAGAUGUCAAACCACCCCCCUCCUAACCCAGGCCCCACUGCGGCCUCCCUGCCCUGCUCCAGCCUCGGUCUGUUGUGCAAGAGCCAGAGGGGACUUACGAUCACGGAGCCACACGCCCAGGCCCAACCCAGGCCCAGGAGCUCCACCCUAGGGAAACGCCUAAGUCAGAACAGAGCACUCCUAACCCCCCGGGGCAAGGAGGGGAGGCCAGGCAGCCGGAAGGAAACUCCUGAGCUUUUUACGGAAUGCACAAGACAAAAGCCAUGUUUUGUUCAGUCCUUCAGAAGAUAGAAAUUGAACACCUGACUUGUGGACAGCACCUCUAAACACUGCAGAGAGAGAUUCAGAGAUGAAUAGCCCUGGCCCUUAGGGUUCUUGCGGUCACAAGCACCGUCCAGUAAGAGCAGCCCAUGGUUAUGAGUAACAAGAGCAGACACUACGGCAGGCACUUGGUUUAGGGACAUUGCCUUGUUUCAUCCUCACGGUGACUUCAGGAGGACAGUGCCAUCGUUACGCCGUUUAACAGAUGGUAAAACUGAGGCCCAGAGAGGGGAGUGCCUUGCUUCAGAUGACUCAGCAACGCAGUGGCUGAGCAAGGAUUUGAACUCAGGCAGAAUGGUGGCAGAGCCUGUUUGCCUAACUUCUAAAUUUCCCUAACUCUCUAGAACAGAGGGUAGUAGGAGUGCAGCAGACAGGACAACUAACCCUGCCUGGAAAAGUCAUGGUGGGCUUCCCGGAGGAGGCGUCCUUAGGCUGGGGCUUGAAGACGAGGUAUUUACCAGACAAAUAGUGGAGAAGAAGGCUGUCUUAAACAGAAAAAACUUCUUAUGUGGUCCUGGGUUCUGAGGGCCCAGCUCUUCUCACCCUCCUUCUCCGAGGAGUGGGGGAACGGAAGUGCAGAGCCUUCGUGUUUUACCCUCCUUCUCCGAGGAGUGGGGAACGGAAGUGCAGAGCCUUUAUGUUUUGUGACAGUGGAAUCCCCUUCGCGGGCCACCUCCUCGAUCUGAAAGGCUCUAUCUGCAGCUACUGAAUUCCCUUCAGCUCGUAAGUCUUAAUAGCAAUGUCAUCCCCUUCUGAAAACUUUCCUGGACUGCUCCUUAUCUUGCUGCCGGUGAUUGAAAGCAAUCCUUUCCUCUCUCUUCCCUCACACCUGCCUGUUUGCAUUAAAGUUCUUGAGUUGGACUCCAUCAGUCUUUAUUUUUUAUUUGUUUAAUUUAUUUUUUAGAGACAGGGUCUCACAAUGUCACCCAGGCUGGAGAGCCGUGGCAUGAUAAUGGCUUACUGCAGCCUCAUCCUCCUGGCCUCAAGCAAUCCUCCUGCCUCAGCCUGCCAAGUAACUAGGACUACAGGUGUGUGCCACCAUGCCUGGCUAAUUUUAUUUUAUUUUUUUGAGACAGAGUCUUGCUCUGUAGCCCAGUCUGGAGUGCAAUGGCGUCAUCUCGGCUCACUGCAAGCUCCGCCUCCUGGGUUCAAGCGAUUCUCCUGUCUCAGCCUCCAGAGUAGCUGGGAUUACAGGCGUGUGCCACCAUGCCCAGCUAAUUUUUGUAUUUUUAGUAGAGAGGGGGUUUCACCAUGUUGGCCAGGCUGGUCUCGAACUCCUGACCUCAGGUGAUCUGCCUUCCUCAGCCUCCCAAACUGUUGGGAUUACAGGCGUGAGCCGCUGCACCUGGCCUCUGGCUAAUUUAAAAAAAUUUUUUGGCCAGACACGGUGGCUUCCAUCUUUAAUACCGGCACUUCAGGAGGCCAAGGCAGGAGAUUUGCUUGAGCCCAGUAGUUUGAGACCAGUCUGGGCAACAUAAGAAGACCCCCAUCUCUACAAAAAAAAAAAUAAAUAAAAAAAAAAAAAAUAAGCCAGGCAUGGUGGCGCUCGUCUGUGGUCCCAGCUAAUACGGAGGUUAAGGUGCAAGGAUUGCAUGAGCCUGGGAGGUCAAGGCUGCAGUGAACUCUGAUCACAUUCCAGCCUGUGACUGUACUCCAGCCUGAGUGACAGAGCAAGACCCUGUCUCAAAAUAAAUAAAUACAUACAUACAUAAAUAAAUAAGUUUAAUUUAAAAAUAAAUUUAUUUCUGUAGAGAUGGGUCUCACUCUUUUGCCCAGGCUGGUCUUGAACUCCUGGCCUCAAGUGAUUCUCCCAAGUUGACCCCCCAAAGUGCUGGAAUUAUAGGCAUAAGCCACUGCACCCAGCCCAUUAGUGUUUAUUACUAGACUGUGAGUUCCUGGAGAGCACUGGUAUACUCAUUUGCUUCUUACUUGCUUCUGCCCAGGCUGGUUUAGUAUCCUACUCAUAGAAGGUUCUUAGUAACCGCAUUUGGUGAAUAAAUGGAGGAGAGUGGGAAGGCUGUGAUCGAAUAGGUAUCUCUUGUCUCCUCUUUACCCCUUGAUAAAUUUCACAAUCAAGCAAGCUAAAAAUGGAGAUGUGUGUCUCCACCAGACAAGGUCUGGACCACUCUCUGCCAAGACAGCACGAAGAGCAGGACACUGCCAGCAACCAGCACGCUUGCUUUCCAUUAAGCGGAUCCUUUGUGCUGAAACAGAUUUGCAGUCCUGCCAAACCAGACGAUGCUGCUGGCAGGAAGAUGCACAUGGUCUGAUGUUAAUGCAAGAGUGAGAAAACCUCUGUGGCACAGUCAUGGGAG
Molecule: long non-coding RNA, 5092 nt
Filed under: Homo sapiens (human)
Lineage: Eukaryota; Metazoa; Chordata; Mammalia; Primates; Hominidae
Description: non-protein coding lnc-CPN2-4:43
Source: RNAcentral